CCGCAUCUGUGCAUGCAGCAUAUCAAUAAGCGGAGGAAAAGAAACUAACAAGGAUUCCCCUAGUAACGGCGAGUGAAGCGGGAAGAGCUCAAAUUUGAAAUCUUAAAGGGUUUCCCUUUACGAAUUGUAGUUUAAAGAAGUGUUUUCUGUUGAGGUUUUGGUAAAAGUUCUUUGGAAUAGGACAUCAUAGAGGGUGAGAAUCCCGUAUUUGACCUUUACUUUCAACUUUGUGAUACACUUUCAAAGAGUCGGAUUGUUUGGGAAUGCAGUCCAAAAUGGGUGGUAAAUUUCAUCUAAAGCUAAAUAUUGGCGAGAGACCGAUAGCGAACAAGUACCGUGAGGGAAAGAUGAAAAAAACUUUGAAAAGAGAGUUAAACAGUACGUGAAAUUGUCAAAAGGGAAGCGUUUGACACCAGUGUUGUUUUUCUGAAAAUCAAUUAAAGAACUGUUUAUGCUAAGCUGUUUAGACUUUAUCAGCUAACUGUUUAGUUUUGAGCUUUUCUUUAAUGCACUUUUCAGUUAACAAGUCAACAUCAAUUUCUCUUGCUGUAAAAAAGCUUGAGGAAGGUGGCUUGAGAUUCGUCUUAAGUGUUUAUAGCCUCUUGCCUAUGCAGUCGGAGAGAUUGAGGUCUGCAGCGUAGAUCCUUCGGGGCUAAAUGCAUUUGUGCUAAGUUAUAGCAUUUUAUAGACAACUUGUUGACUAUGAUUUGUCUUGUAGCUUACUCGCUUAUGUUAUUUUACCUACGCUUAGGAUGUUGAACUCUAUCACACACAG
Molecule: ribosomal RNA, 775 nt
Filed under: uncultured Neocallimastigales
Lineage: Eukaryota; Fungi; Neocallimastigomycota; Neocallimastigomycetes; Neocallimastigales
Description: partial large subunit ribosomal RNA
Rfam family: Eukaryotic large subunit ribosomal RNA
Source: RNAcentral